RNAcentral lists this ribosomal RNA (253 nucleotides) under uncultured bacterium. Its description in RNAcentral is "partial 16S ribosomal RNA". It matches the Rfam family "Bacterial small subunit ribosomal RNA", at positions 524 to 776 of the family's 1533-position model. The record is from RNAcentral.
AACGUAGGACGCAAGCGUUAUCCGGAGUUACUGGGCGUAAAGCGCGGGCAGGCGGCCCGUUCAGUCUGAGGUGAAAGCGCCCGGCUCAACCGGGCGAGGCCCUUGGAAACUGGCGGGCUGGAGGGCAGUAGAGGCAGGCGGAAUUCCGGGUGGAGUGGUGAAAUGCGUAGAGAUCCGGAGGAACACCAGAGGCGAAGGCGGCCUGCUGGGCUGCACCUGACGCUGAGCCGCGAAAGCCAGGGGAGCGAACGGG